RNAcentral lists this long non-coding RNA (2300 nucleotides) under Pelobates cultripes (western spadefoot toad). Lineage: Eukaryota; Metazoa; Chordata; Amphibia; Anura; Pelobatidae. The record is from RNAcentral.
GCAGAACUAUGGGGUGAGAGUGGAGUAAUCCCCGUUAAGGGAGAGCAAGAGAGGAGUUUAUGAAAUAGAAGUUAUUCUGGGAAGCCACAAGCUUUUCAAAAGUUGUUUUGAGGAACUUUGCAAAUGAUUGAAGACUAGGGGAGAGUCUGAUGGAGUAGGCAGGCUGUUCCAAAGGAAAGAUGCUGCCCAUUAGAAGACCUGCAAGUGUGAGUUAGCAGUAGAGUGGAGAGAUGGAGAAGGAGCACAGCCACGGAUUAGUGAAGAAAUUUAACAGGGGCUAGAACUGUUUAAAGCUUUAUACAUAAGGGUUAGUAUUUUAAUUUGACUCCUAUAGGAUACAGAAUGCCAAUGUAAGUACUGACAAGGGCACUGACCAGGGGAGGGCAAGGUGUGAGAGUAGCAGCAGGAGAGAAAAAUCCACCUGGCAGCAGCAUUACAGAUUGUAGUGAGGCAGUAUGGUUUCUGGUGAGACCAAUUAGGAGAGAAUUACAGUACUCAAUACAUCAAAUUACUGGAGCAUGCACAAGCUCCUUAGCAAUAUCUUGCUAAGAAAGUGGUGGACGCCAACAAUGUUUUUAAGGUAGAAUCGGUAGGAUUUGGCAACAGACUAGACAUGACACCAGGUGAUGCCAGAAUCAAAAAUAACACCAAGUCAGCAAGCUUGCAAGGACAGGCUGAAGUGGGUACCAUAAACUUGCAGGGAGAGUGAAAGAGGAUGAUUAGUAUAAAGAAUCUUAGUUUUUGAGAGAUUGAGUUUCAAAAAGCAGGCGGAUAUCCAAUCGGAAGUGGAAAAAAGGCAACCUGGUAACGUGUUCUAGGAUAGCAUGGAAAAAAACAGUGGAGGAAAGAUAUAUCUGGGUGUUAUAGGUAAAACAGGUGGUAGUGGAAUCCAAAGGAAUUAAUACACGUGCCAACUAUAAAGACAGAACAAAUGGGGACUUCAACCGAACAUUGGGGGACUCCAACCGAGCCAGGACGAGGGGAUGAGGGGAGGAGGUGUUAAAAAAAAGAUAUGAAUAAACAUUGACAGAGAUAGGAUGAGAAAGGAUAGUUUCACAGAGGUAAAGGGAUUGAAAAUUUUGAAGAAAUAAGUCAUGAUCAACAGUGUCAACGGCAGCAGAGAGGUCUAGAAGAAUUGGUAUAGAGGACUGGCCUUUGGCUUUAGCUGCGAUUGGGUUGUUAGUUACUUUAAUCAGAGAGGUUUCUGUAGAAUGGAGCAGACGGAUGCCAGAUUGAGGAGGGUCAAGAAGAGAGUUGGAACUGCGAAAGCAUGCAAAAAGUAAAGACAAGUAGUUCAAGAACCUUUGAGCAGAAAGGGAGCAGGGAUAUAAGACUAUAGUCAGAAGGGGAAGAUGGGUCAGGACAUGGGACAAUGCCAGAAAAAAGAGAGCAGUUGAAGAUAUGUGUUAAGGAUGGCACAAGAUAAGGGAAGAGAGAUCUGGUAAGGUGAGAUGGGAUGGGAUUACACGAACAAAUGGUGGAGCGUGAGCAAAGGAGAAGCUCAGCCACCUCCUGUUUAAUAACCUUUGGAAGGUUUGCCAAUUUAUAUCUUCAUGAUGAUCCUCUUGUAUCCUAAUAUAUGUGAACUAAAUGGCAGGAAAAUUGACCUAUUAAUGUUUUGAAAAAUAUAUACAUUAUAUUUUCAUUAUGUGUAUAUAUUUAGCAGUUACGCUGAUUGUCCCAUUUCUGCAACCUUUUGGUCAUCUGAAACAUAUUACAAAUAUGAAUAAGACCAUCAUACUGUCCAAGCUAAUUCUAAUGAAUACAUAAUCAUAUCUAUCUGUCUUUGUGUCUCUAAUAAUGAAUAUUAGCAGGGGGCUUUCCUGGAACCCAUAAAAAGCUUUUAUAAUCUACCUCAUUGUCAUUAAAGCCCUUGAUAUUGAUAAUGUCUACUCUUGAAACUAGGUCAAUUAAAUAAAAUUAAAAAAAACAACAAAACAAAGCUAUAAGGUUCCAUCAAAACCACAAAAAUAAAAAUAUUCAUAUUCUACCUUAUAAAAAAAAUAAAGAACUUAUUCAGAGACAGAAGCAUUUAUAGACUCUGCUGUUUGCUUAGCCGAGUUUGAACUCAGUAAAACACAAUGCAUCUCGGACCAAGUCUAAAGUGAAAACGCCUAAAGAGCAUCUGGGAGAGUCUGCUUAGUUAUAUUUAGAGUUUUGGUCACCUGGCCCUGUUUUAAAGUAGGAGGAGUCAUUAGGUCAUAGUACUAAGUCAAUGGGAGUCCCUGGCUCUACAGUGUAUCUAAUCUGGAGACUAAGCACCCCUUUGUCCUUUCAUAUGAAAGCUAAAUGGCUUAGAG